Molecule: long non-coding RNA, 101 nt
Organism: Neltuma alba
Lineage: Eukaryota; Viridiplantae; Streptophyta; Magnoliopsida; Fabales; Fabaceae
Exons: 3
Source: RefSeq, a predicted model, not a curated record
GGUCCGCAACUGACCCUAUCAUUCAUAAAUUAGGCCAGCCAGUCCGGGGAGUGACAUCAAGGCGGCCGGAGAGGGUUCCUUUUACAAAAGCAACCCACUCC